UAUCCUCACCCCAAGACCAGACUAGGAUUAAUGAUUUUGCUCUGGGCCCAGAAAAAUCAGCCCCCUUGAGCACAGAUUGCCUUGGGCUGGGACUCUGGACAUCUCCACAGAGUCAUUGAAGUCCAGAAGAAAGCCAAAAGUAAAAAUGAUAGAUGAUGGCUCAGGAUGCAGUGGAUGACCUUGUUAUUUUUGAUGUCUGACCAAGCUGUAAAUGUCCAAUAGUGGCUGCUUCAACUUCCUUGAUGGUUAUUGGAACAAAGUGUUCUCAUCUGCCCAUUCCAUUGUAGAAAGUCUUCAGGUGCUUGGGAAAGACUGUUCCUUAACUCACUGACAGAACUAGGUAAAACUAGCAAAAAGGAAGAAGAAGAAGAAGAAGAAGAAGAAGAAGAAGAAGAAGAAGAAGAAGAAGAAGAAGAAGAAGAAGAAGAAGAAGAAGAAGAAGAAGAAGAAGAAGAAGAAGAAGAAGAAGAAGAAGAAGAAGAAGAAGAAGAAGAAGAAGAAGAAGAAGAAGAAGAAGAAGAAAGAGGAGGAGGAGGAGGAGAAGGAGGAGGAGGAGGAGGAGGAGGAGGAGGAGGAGGAGGAGGAGAAGGAGAAGGAGAAGGAGAAGGAGAAGGAGAAGGAGAAGGAGAAGGAGAGGAAGAGGAAGAGGAAGAGGAAAAGGAGGAGUUAAGGAGAUGAAUAGAACUAUAGAUAAGUAAAAUAUGAUAGAUAUCUGGUUAAAUGUCUCCACACAUCUACAUGACGUUAGCAGUAGAUCUAAGCCUAAGCAUUCACAUAAUUCAAACAGAGUUGCUGAUGAGACAACAAUGGUUUAGCGAGCAUAAAUAUUCUGCAAAAGUCUUUGUUUGACAAAACAAAUAAUACAAAUUCGAUGAAUAGGAGAUAUGGCUGAAUAGAUUGUGAUAAUUGAGUGUAAUGACUGUAUUCUGUUAUUAGAAAUGACAAAUAUUGGAAAUACUCUAAAGGAAA
This 969-nucleotide long non-coding RNA is filed under the name Monodelphis domestica (gray short-tailed opossum). RNAcentral describes it as "lncRNA (ENSMODG00000048210.1)". Lineage: Eukaryota; Metazoa; Chordata; Mammalia; Didelphimorphia; Didelphidae. The record is from RNAcentral.